Molecule: long non-coding RNA, 606 nt
Filed under: Homo sapiens (human)
Lineage: Eukaryota; Metazoa; Chordata; Mammalia; Primates; Hominidae
Description: HSALNT0312612
Source: RNAcentral
GGAAUGUGGCUCAAGUUGGGAGGCGUUACCUGCGGAGGGUUUGAGGCACGCCCAGGAGCGAGCCCACGGUCGGCCGACGCGGGGCCAGGGGCGGGCCCCAGGAUCCGGAGCUUCGGGCGGGGCCGAGUCUGGGUUUGGGGCCCGGGAGGCGGGGCCAGUUAGGGCGAGGGUCCCUGGGAUCGUCGGGUCAGGCCUUGGGCUAACGUAGACACUCUCGCAGUACCUCCGCCUUCAGGAAGGUCUUUUUAGCAGGGGCCUUACAGGUGCACGCUUCGGUCCUGGAGGCCUUAUCCUAACCUCUCCAUCAGCGCCACCCGUCUGGGGCCCGAAAGGAGGGAGCUUUCCCUCUGUCCUCCAGCCUUUGGACUGUCUCCAAACAAGCCAUUCGUUCACCAAAUACUUAUUAAGCACCUACCAUGUGCCUGACAAGGGAGAUGUAACGGGUCUCUCUCUCUGCCACCCAGGCCAGAGUGCAGUUGACGCAGGGCAGGGGAGCCCCGAAGUGGAGCAUAGUGUGUCCGGAACUGGUGGGUUCUUGGUCUCACUGACUUCAAGAAUGAAGCCGUGGACCCUCACGGUUCAAGCGAUUCUCCUGCCUCAGCCUCC